UGAGAGCUCACCUCAUCAAAACCGAAUCUCAGCCUGCAGAAUUAAACAGUUUGCACUUAAUUUUUUUAAUCAUCUGAGCGUUACACUAAUUAACAAAUGCACAGUGUUGAUUACUGAGAAUAUUAUUUGGUACUUUGAUCGUUCAGCUGAUUUGCGCAUUGCUUGCUGUCUCCUUUUUCAUGUAAAUUCACGUAGAUAAACAUUAAUGAACGACUGAUAAAACAUUAAUGAAAUGUAAACACUUUAAGUUAAAAGAUUUAACUGAAAUUAAACACACCUGUAAUUUAAAGCACGGAACCAGUUUAUCCGGAAAUGGUCCGGUACGUUCUUCGUGUGACUAUUCAGUCGCUAUUUUAUAUGACAGAAUCUGUUAGCUGUGUUGUCGUGACCGUUAUUGAUUAAUGCACUACCCUUGAUAAUAAGACUAGUGUAUAAAGCAUUUAUGCACUGGCCUAACCUCUAACUUCCUUAUUAAACUGCAAAAUCCAGUGAUUUGGUAAUUUGACCGAACUGACGUCAAUCCACAGUAUGUGUUCCUAAGCAGGCAUUAGGCUUAUUGAAGACCUGCGGACACCGGCGCUCCUCUCGGCAGAGAAAAAGACAUCCAGGGGCAGUAUGGAGAUGUACGUGCGCCUUGUCUCGGGGUGCGCCACGCUCGCGAUUUACAUUACGGCUCGCUCCUUUGCACGCCACCAUCUUGCCGGAGACCCGGACAACAUUCUACAGGCCCGAUUUGCCUCCGAGCAGGAGAGACUGCUGACGUCAGAUGCAGAUACGAGACACCUUGAGGGCAAACAUUUACACCAGCGUGAGAGACGGUGCCUCUGUGAUGCUUCGUCGACCAGCUCUCCCGCGCAAUUUCAUCUGUAAGGACCCAACCCUGCUAUUAAUGCAGACAAACAAACAUCUUCCUGAGCAGGCUGACAAUACCAG
Long non-coding RNA from Paramormyrops kingsleyae, 933 nucleotides. RefSeq lists it as uncharacterized. The record is from RefSeq and is a predicted model, not a curated record. Lineage: Eukaryota; Metazoa; Chordata; Actinopteri; Osteoglossiformes; Mormyridae.